RNAcentral lists this transfer RNA (88 nucleotides) under Caudoviricetes sp. RNAcentral describes it as "tRNA-His". It matches the Rfam family "tRNA". Rfam says of the family: Transfer RNA (tRNA) molecules are approximately 80 nucleotides in length. Lineage: Duplodnaviria; Heunggongvirae; Uroviricota; Caudoviricetes. The record is from RNAcentral.
GGGCUUAUAACUCAGUGGUAGAGUGGUACAGCGUCCGGUUAUGGAGUGCCGGCUGAUAUGUCACAGGUUCGAUUCCUGUUAAGCCCUA